Molecule: ribosomal RNA, 249 nt
Filed under: uncultured bacterium
Lineage: Bacteria
Description: partial 16S ribosomal RNA
Rfam family: Bacterial small subunit ribosomal RNA
Source: RNAcentral
UAGGGACCAAGCGUUGUUCGGAUUUACUGGGCGUAAAGGGCGCGUAGGCGGCGCGGUAAGUCACUUGUGAAAUCUCUGAGCUUAACUCAGAACGGCCAAGUGAUACUGCAGUGCUAGAGUGUGGAAGGGGCAAUCGGAAUUCUUGGUGUAGCGGUGAAAUGCGUAGAUAUCAAGAGGAACACCUGAGGUGAAGACGGGUUGCUGGGCCAACACUGACGCUGAGGCGCGAAAGCCAGGGGAGCAAACGGG